AUCGGUUUACUGGGCGUAAGCGCGCGUAGGCGGCUAAUUAAGUCAAAUGUGAAAUCCCCGAGCUUAACUUGGGAAUUGCAUUCGAUACUGGUUAGCUAGAGUGUGGGAGAGGAUGGUAGAAUUCCAGGUGUAGCGGUGAAAUGCGUAGAGAUCUGGAGGAAUACCGAUGGCGAAGGCAGCCAUCUGGCCUAACACUGACGCUGAGGUGCGAAAGCAUGGGGAGCAAACAGGAUUAGAUACCCUGGUAGUCCAUGCCGUAAACGAUGUCUACUAGCCGUUGGGGCCUUUGAGGCUUUAGUGGCGCAGCUAACGCGAUAAGUAGACCGCCUGGGGAGUACGGUCGCAAGACUAAAACUCAAAUGAAUUGACGGGGGCCCGCACAAGCGGUGGAGCAUGUGGUUUAAUUCGAUGCAACGCGAAGAACCUUACCUGGCCUUGACAUAGUAAGAACUUUCCAGAGAUGGAUUGGUGCCUUCGGGAACUUACAUACAGGUGCUGCAUGGCUGUCGUCAGCUCGUGUCGUGAGAUGUUGGGUUAAGUCCCGCAACGAGCGCAACCCUUUUCCUUAUUUGCCAGCGAGUAAUGUCGGGAACUUUAAGGAUACUGCCAGUGACAAACUGGAGGAAGGCGGGGACGACGUCAAGUCAUCAUGGCCCUUACGGCCAGGGCUACACACGUGCUACAAUGGUCGGUACAAAGGGUUGCUACCUAGCGAUAGGAUGCUAAUCUCAAAAAGCCGAUCGUAGUCCGGAUUGGAGUCUGCAACUCGACUCCAUGAAGUCGGAAUCGCUAGUAAUCGCGGAUCAGAAUGCCGCGGUGAAUACGUUCCCGGGCCUUGUACACACCGCCCGUCACACCAUGGGAGUUUGUUGCACCAGAAGUAGCUAGCCUAACUGCAAAGAGGGCGGUUACCACGGUGUGCGAUGACUGGGGUGAGAAAAGGGGGGUUUUUUUCGGGAGAUAUAAGGUCUCCCUCUCUGGUACAGGUUUA
RNAcentral lists this ribosomal RNA (991 nucleotides) under Acinetobacter sp. RNAcentral describes it as "bacterial SSU rRNA". It matches the Rfam family "Bacterial small subunit ribosomal RNA", at positions 544 to 1533 of the family's 1533-position model. The record is from RNAcentral. Lineage: Bacteria; Pseudomonadati; Pseudomonadota; Gammaproteobacteria; Moraxellales; Moraxellaceae.